GACGGAGGAUGCAAGUGUUAUCCGGAAUUACUGGGCGUAAAGCGUCUGUAGGUUGUUUAGAAAGUCUCCUGUUAAAGCUUGGAGCUCAACUUCAAAUCUGCAGUAGAAACUAUUAAACUAGAGUUUGGUAGGGGUAGAGGGAAUUUCCAGUGAAGCGGUGAAAUGUGUAGAUAUUGGAAAGACCACCAAUGGCGAAGGCACUCUACUGGGCCAAUACUGACACUGAGAGACGAAAGCUAGGGGAGCAAAUGGG
RNAcentral lists this ribosomal RNA (253 nucleotides) under uncultured bacterium. Its description in RNAcentral is "partial 16S ribosomal RNA". It matches the Rfam family "Bacterial small subunit ribosomal RNA", at positions 524 to 776 of the family's 1533-position model. The record is from RNAcentral.